Molecule: long non-coding RNA, 735 nt
Filed under: Anas platyrhynchos platyrhynchos (common mallard)
Lineage: Eukaryota; Metazoa; Chordata; Aves; Anseriformes; Anatidae
Description: lncRNA (ENSAPLG00000028358.1)
Source: RNAcentral
AUAUUUUCCAUCCAGAAUAGAGCCUCUCUCCUGCAGGUUUCCUAAGCAAAUUGGACUUUUUGUUGGGUCACCUGGCUGACCGAAGUUCAACAUGCAGAUCAUCUUUGAAGAUAUUUUUUUGGGCCCACUUGUGAGGAGCUCCAGCCAGUUUUAUUUUGCCAAGUGGUGCGUAAUGGUGCAGUGACAGGAGGGCAUUAUAUAUGGUUCAAAUGCACUGUGGAAAAGGGAAGAUGGAUUUGUUCCUGGUUCUCAGGCAUUUAUUUCUGCAUACUGGUCUUCCAAGCGAUGCUCUUGAAAAUAGGAGCAAGAAUGUAGCAGCAAUCAACCUGAAAAACAAUGUGCAAUCAUUUGAAGUGUCUGAACCCAGGGCUAAAAUGAAGGGCCCAGACCUAAUUCUUCAGGAAAUGUGUUGUUUUGUCUUGGAGUUGAAGCAGUAAACAUAAAGUAUAUUUUAUAUGAACACAUAUCAAUGCAAACUGCAUUCUGUGUCAAAAACAUGGGUUGCUUUAUCUAAGUGAAAAGGCUUUGUUUUCUGUUUGAAAAUGACAAUGAGAAUUUUGGAUGGAAACUGAGAAGAGAACAGUAAGCCAUAUCAGUAACAGUGCUGAUCACAGCUGAAGUGUAUGUUACCAAGGUGACCACACUUACAGACUCAUGCUGAACUCAUCAGUAAUCAAGAGUUUAACUAGCAACAUCUCUAAAAGUUACAUUUCUGCCUUGGCUAAAAUAAAAAAG